Molecule: ribosomal RNA, 497 nt
Filed under: uncultured bacterium
Lineage: Bacteria
Description: partial 16S ribosomal RNA
Rfam family: Bacterial small subunit ribosomal RNA
Source: RNAcentral
GACGAACGCUGGCGGCUUGCCUAAUACAUGCAAGUAGAACGCUGAAGAGAGGAGCUUGCUCUUCUUGGAUGAGUUGCGAACGGGUGAGUAACGCGUAGGUAACCUGCCUUGUAGCGGGGGAUAACUAUUGGAAACGAUAGCUAAUACCGCAUAACAAUGGAUGACACAUGUCAUUUAUUUGAAAGGGGCAAUUGCUCCACUACAAGAUGGACCUGCGUUGUAUUAGCUAGUAGGUGAGGUAAUGGUUCACCUAGGCGACGAUACAUAGCCGACCUGAGAGGGUGAUCGGCCACACUGGGACUGAGACACGGCCCAGACUCCUACGGGAGGCAGCAGUAGGGAAUCUUCGGCAAUAGGGGCAACCCUGACCGAGCAACGCCGCGUGAGUGAAGAAGGUUUUCGGAUCGUAAAGCUCUGUUGUAAGUCAAGAACGGGUGUGAGAGUGGAAAGUUCACACUGUGACGGUAGCUUACCAGAAAGGGACGGCUAACUACGUG